RNAcentral lists this transfer RNA (526 nucleotides) under Nostoc sp. 7B2. RNAcentral's name for it is "16S-23S ribosomal RNA intergenic spacer". The stretch from base 273 to 345 matches the Rfam family "tRNA". The record is from RNAcentral. Lineage: Bacteria; Bacillati; Cyanobacteriota; Cyanophyceae; Nostocales; Nostocaceae.
UAGGGAGACCUACCCAACUUUAAUAUCGAUUGCAAACAGCAAAUAGAUAUAGAGAUGGUCUACUCUAGGUCGGUCGCAGAACUUGAGGUGUGCUUUCAAACUAUAUUUGGUUCGAUUUGGGCUAUUAGCUCAGGUGGUUAGAGCGCACCCCUGAUAAGGGUGAGGUCCCUGGUUCGAGUCCAGGAUGGCCCACCUGAAGGUAAUUAGUAAUUACUAAUUCGUAGUUCGUAAAUAAUUACGAAUUACGCAUUCCGGAUUACGAAUUAUAAUCUGGGGGUUUAGCUCAGUUGGUAGAGCGCCUGCUUUGCAAGCAGGAUGUCAGCGGUUCGAGUCCGCUAACCUCCACCUGUAGCGUCAGCUAAUAUAAAGAUAGGAUAAGUUCAGCAACAUGACAUAGUAAUGUCAGACUGCUGGGUUAGAUUCCAGCCAGAACCUUGAAAACUGCAUAGUAACGCGAAAAAAGCAGGCAGACACAGACAUUGAAAAAGUGAUCGUGUUUGCAAGUUUGAAACCAAUUGUUGAAAGU